This 240-nucleotide unclassified non-coding RNA is filed under the name soil metagenome. RNAcentral describes it as "partial contains 5.8S ribosomal RNA, internal transcribed spacer 2, and large subunit ribosomal RNA". The record is from RNAcentral.
AACGCACGAGACCUGCGGACCUGCGGAGGGAUCAUUCGUGAAGCAGGCGCUCCGUCGCCCUUCUCUACCCUUCAACCAUGUGGUCUUCUGCCAUUGCCUCGGGGGGGUUUGAGGCGGCCUCGGCCGUCGGGGCCCCUUGCUGGGCCCCGCCCCCCCGCGUGCCCUUGAUAAAGUCUUGGAGUGAUAUUUGCGUCUGAUCUGUCCGGUGGACAUAAUGAAAAUAAAACUUUUAGCAACGGA